GAGUUUGAUCGUGGCUCAGAUUGAACGCUGGCGGCAGGCCUAACACAUGCAAGUCGAGCGGAUGACGGGAGCUUGCUCCUUGAUUCAGCGGCGGACGGGUGAGUAAUGCCUAGGAAUCUGCCUGGUAGUGGGGGACAACGUUUCGAAAGGAACGCUAAUACCGCAUACGUCCUACGGGAGAAAGCAGGGGACCUUCGGGCCUUGCUCUAUCAGAUGAGCCUAGGUCGGAUUAGCUAGUUGGUGGGGUAAUGGCUCACCAAGGCGACGAUCCGUAACUGGUCUGAGAGGAUGAUCAGUCACACUGGAACUGAGACACGGUCCAGACUCCUACGGGAGGCAGCAGUGGGGAAUAUUGGACAAUGGGCGAAAGCCUGAUCCAGCCAUGCCGCGUGUGUGAAGAAGGUCUUCGGAUUGUAAAGACACUUAAGUUGGGAGGAAGGGCAGUAAGUUAAGUACCUUAGCUGUUUUGACGUUACCGUACAGAAUAAGACACCGG
RNAcentral lists this ribosomal RNA (496 nucleotides) under bacterium enrichment culture clone ALO1_GLFRUDD03FJSXN. Its description in RNAcentral is "bacterial SSU rRNA". It matches the Rfam family "Bacterial small subunit ribosomal RNA", at positions 9 to 497 of the family's 1533-position model. The record is from RNAcentral.